Molecule: ribosomal RNA, 449 nt
Filed under: uncultured bacterium
Lineage: Bacteria
Description: partial 16S ribosomal RNA
Rfam family: Bacterial small subunit ribosomal RNA
Source: RNAcentral
AACGAACGCCGGCGGCAGGCUUAACACAUGCAAGUCGAACGAGAUCUUCGGAUCUAGUGGCAGACGGGUGAGGAACACGUGGGAACAUCCCUUUCAGUUCGGAAUAACGUUGGGAAACUAACGCUAAUACCGGAUACGUCCUUCGGGAGAAAGAUUUAUCGCUGAAAGAUUGGCCCGCGUCUGAUUAGCUAGUUGGUGAGGUAAUGGCUCACCAAGGCUACGAUCAGUAGCUGAUCUGAGAGGAUGAUCAGCCACAUUGGGACUGAGACACGGCCCAAACUCCUACGGGAGGCAGCAGUGGGGAAUUUUAGACAAUGGGGGCAACCCUGAUCUAGCCAUGCCGCGUGAGUGAUGAAGGCCUUAGGGUUGUAAAGCUCUUUCAGCUGGGAAGAUAAUGACGGUACCAGCAGAAGAAGCCCCGGCUAACUCCGUGCCAGCCGCCGCCGUAA